GAUGAACGCUGGCGGCGUGCUUAACACAUGCAAGUCGAACGGAAAGGCGCGGCUCUUGUGGGGUGCUCGAGUGGCGAACGGGUGAGUAAAACGGGAGUAACCUGCCCUUGACUUUGGGAUAACUUUAGGAAAAUGGGGCUAAUAUCGGAUAGGAGCUCCUGCUGCAUGGGGGGGGUUGGAAAGUUUCGGCUGUUGGGGAUGGACUCGAGGCUUAUCAGCUUGUUGGUGGGGUAGUGGCUUACCAAGCCUUUGACGGAUAGCCGGCCUGGGAGGGUGACCGGCCACCUUGGGCCUGAGAUACGCCCCAGACUCCUACGGGACGCAGCAGUGGGGAAUAUUGCACAAUGGGCGGACGCCUGAUGCAGCAACGCCGCGUGCGUGAUGACGGCCUUCGGGUUGUAAACCGCUUUCGCCUGUGACGAAGCGUGAGUGACGGUAAUUGGUAAAGAAGCACCGGCUAACUACGUG
RNAcentral lists this ribosomal RNA (468 nucleotides) under uncultured bacterium. Its description in RNAcentral is "partial 16S ribosomal RNA". It matches the Rfam family "Bacterial small subunit ribosomal RNA", at positions 28 to 507 of the family's 1533-position model. The record is from RNAcentral.